RNAcentral lists this long non-coding RNA (610 nucleotides) under Anser brachyrhynchus (Pink-footed goose). Its description in RNAcentral is "lncRNA (ENSABRG00000010668.1)". Lineage: Eukaryota; Metazoa; Chordata; Aves; Anseriformes; Anatidae. The record is from RNAcentral.
CCCCCUUUUCAAAUCUCUUUUGUUUGCUUUUUGCUAUACACUCAUGGUGACACAUCCCAUCUGGUCCUGUUGUAUUGCAUGAUCCAAGAUAAUACAUAGUGCUGUUAGCAGUCAAGAUGGGACACAUCAUAGCUUGUUCCCAGUCUGUGUUGCCAAGGACCUUAAUCUGCUUCAGAGUUACAAACAAUUUUUAAUUUCUUUUGAAGACAUAGAGUGGUAAACAUCCCUGGGAACUCUACAUUUCCAUGGUCUGGCUGAUUCUGCACCCAGACCAGCUUGUUUAAAGCUUCCUCAGGGAUCUUUGCUCCAGAGAUACCCUGACUGGGCUGAAGGGCAGAUCCUGCUCGUGGGCAGUGAGAGAAAGGUGGGUCGAUCAUCUGGAUCCAGAGCCAAACCACCGUGAAGGCUCAUACUUAUUUAUCUCUCCAUGGAAGAAUUAGCAAGAUGAACAUUUUCUUUCUCCUUGCUUUUGGAGAUGUUCAGCUUUGCUAACUUUUGCAGCUGCUCGAGGAGGCACUUACACCUCAUGUAAGCCAUGGUCUUGCAGCUCUUUGUCAAGCGUUUGCACUAACUAACCAUCACCACAGUGUAUCCUCUGCAGCAGCAGUCA